Long non-coding RNA from Cyprinus carpio (common carp), 1273 nucleotides. Lineage: Eukaryota; Metazoa; Chordata; Actinopteri; Cypriniformes; Cyprinidae. The record is from Ensembl.
CAGUAUCAUGUGAGUUACCAUGAAGGUGUUUAGUGUUUGUGUGAUUAUGACACUGUGGGCACCUUUUAUAACCAACUGUUUUUGGUGGUUAUCAGUUUAUUACAAUGGUUCAAAACAGAUAUUAGUACAUCAAUAGGUUGGUAAAUAAACAUUAUACCAAUUAAUGAAAUAUGUUUUUUUUUAAUUGUGAAUUUAAGUUAAAUCUGUAAAACCAAUAUGCUACCACCAUAUAUUUUAUAAGAUGAAGUUCUGGCAACCACAGCUGCCGGUAUUUUACCGUAAAUGUCACCGUUUUUUUUUUUUUUUUUACAGUGUAGCUUUGUUCUAAAAUUAACUAUAUGCUGUAAGCCAGCUUCAAUAGAGUGUGAACAAACCUGGUCAAUAAUCAGAUCAUCCAGGCUUAAACGGGUCAGAAUAACUGCUGUUAAAAACAGCGUUGUGUGACCGCCAGACAACGAUAAGGAGAUGAUGAACAGGUUUUUAGAGUUGUUGAUGACAGACACUCAAGCUAAAGACCACAGCUGUUGAUCAACUGCAGAAAUGCUACCGUGCUAAGUAUGCAUGGCCUGCUUUGUGUCAAUGUUUACAUUCUGAAGCGUGCAGUUGACUGAUCUAAUUGUCCAUGAUCGCUUUAACAACAUUGAAAUAAGCCUGGUUGACAGUGUCUAGUGUGUUUUAACUUAAGCUGUUUACUAUAUGAGGAGCUUUAUUUACAGCCAGAGAGAGAGAGAGAGAGAGAACAUCCCGAUAAGGACGAUGUCCCCUCUGGGAAGGACUCCUCGUCUUUCCCCCUUUAGAUCCGUGGCCUUUUAUUGGCUUUAUUGCAAUAACAGUACUGACACUGGAUCUGUUCGCUCUAUAAAGAAGAGCUGACGUCAUGUGUGGAUUCAGGUGCUCAUUCAACCUCUCAAGUCUAUCCAGGCAAGAAAGAAGGGCUUUGUGUCUAAAACCACUUACACAUUCACUUUUAAACCGUCGGUUGCCUUGAUACUUACUGUUCCAGACGUCCAAGGAUGGAGGUCAUGAAGGUGUUUUAACAGACUCUUGAUGAAGCACUGUCAUACAUCUUGUGCUGUCCAGACAUAAAAAUCACAGCUGUAUUGAAUCUCUGUCUUUGUGAUGUAGAAUAAUGAGGCAGUGACUUCCUCCUACAAUCAGUAACGUCCAUGUUUAAUUGCUGCAUCAAGCAUCAGCACGUCUUCCAGUGUUUUGACAGCGCCUCUAAUGAAUGUGUCACUUAUUAUGUCAGCUUUUGUCAGUGGAUGAACUCGGU